Molecule: ribosomal RNA, 462 nt
Filed under: Triticum aestivum (bread wheat)
Lineage: Eukaryota; Viridiplantae; Streptophyta; Magnoliopsida; Poales; Poaceae
Description: partial small subunit ribosomal RNA
Source: RNAcentral
AUGGAGGAGAGUUCCAGUAGUACUAUCGAAAUUCAUGACAUGGAACCUGAUGUAUUCGAGUCCUUGCUCCAUUUUAUAUACACCGACUCCGCUCCUGUGCUUCAGAUGGCCAGUGAAAAAAGUGAACCAUGUGUAGAUGUGGUGAUGGCCGGCCAUCUACUUGUGGCGGCUGACAGGUACAAUAUUGGGAGGCUGAGGGUGAUACUUGAGGAGAAACUGUGCAGUCACAUUGAUUCCAGCAUGGUGGCAACCAGCUUGGCUUUAGCUGAGCAGCAUGGUUUCCAUCGUCUCAAAGAAGCUUGUUUCCAGUUCCUCUCUUCUCCACCCAAUUUGGAGGCAAUGAUGGCAAGUGAUGGGUAUGAGCACCUGAAAUCCAGCUGUCCAUCUGUUCUCAAGGAGCUGAUAGCUAGAAUCAUCCCAGCUGAAUGGAAAGCGGCAAAGGAUAUUAUCAUGGCAAUUUAG